Long non-coding RNA from Anneissia japonica, 282 nucleotides. RefSeq lists it as uncharacterized. The transcript has 3 exons. The record is from RefSeq and is a predicted model, not a curated record. NCBI's taxonomy places the organism in Eukaryota, Metazoa, Echinodermata, Crinoidea, Comatulida, Comatulidae.
GGAAAAGUGAAAAAUUGAGUUCGGUUAAUUAGAUAUGAUGCAAACCAGUUUAGAGCCGUACCAGAAAUGAAGAACUGUGAGGAUAAUCUGUGAAGUAGGAUAUUGUGAUCAACAGUGUCGAAAGCCGCUGAAAGAUCCAAGAGUAUAAGGGCAACGACCCGUUUCCUAUCUAGAGCAACAGUAAUGUCAUUGUGUAUUUUAGCAAGGGCAGUUUCAAUACUAUGACCAGUCUUAUAUGCCGAUUGAAAGGGGUCAAACAAAUUAAAUUGAGUAAGAUAUGAA